UCUCUGAAAAAAUUCUCGCUUUUUUCUCACACUUUCCCAGAUAACCCAACCCAUCUUCAUAAGCAGAAAAUUUUCCCAUAAGAAAGUGGUUUUCCUUUCCACAAAAAUAGACAGAUUCAAUUCAACAAACGGACGGGUUCAAAGAUUUUCCCCAGAAGAUCUGAUCCUCUCUCUCUUCAAACGGGUUUUUAAUUUUGAAAUGCUUAAUAUUCUUAAUUUUAAUUUUAAUUUUUUUUUUUUGUUUUUGCAGACUACUGAGAAAAAAAUCUGACGGUGAUGAAGAAAAAAAAGGUUUGAAGAUUUUCUCUGGUGAGGGGGUUUUCCAUGCCGCCGCUGGCCGAUGGUGCCUAUGUUAGACUAAUGGGAUUUUUUUGUGCUUUCUUGGUUUUUUAUUCUAAUUGGUGUGGAAUAUCCUUUCAAAUGUAUAUGGGUCUUAGGUUUUGUUGGGGUUUACACGGAGAGUGGCUUUUGGGGCUUUGUCUUUGUGUUUUCAUCUUGAUAUUAGGCAUAUUUCUCCAUUGUGGGGUUUUACUGUUUUAGAGUCUUACCAUUAUUGACAACAUAAACAUGAUCUUCAUUGUGGACUUGAAUUAAUUUUCAUGUUCCUGUUGUUUUAAAAGAUUUUUCAUUUAUUUUCUAUGUUUCUCCUCUGAAAUUUGUGGCACAUGAAGUUUAUUGAUUAAUAUGAUCUUUCGUAAGAAAAAUAUUGUGAGAAAAGAGAAGUAGUAAUCAAGGAAACAUUUUUCAAAAACUUUUUAGAAUAGCCAAAGAAAAUGUAUCUGAAGUGUGCUGAUCAGAUUGAUUUUAGAGAUCAAAACCUUUCUCCCAUCAAAAUUUGAUAGUUUUCAUGUUUGAAGAUUACCCAUCUGGAAUUUUUGUUAUUUUCCAUCCUGUAUUGAUUAUAUAUAUUAUUAAAUGUUUGUUUCAACACCGCCACCACCAUUGUUACAUGUUUCAACUCACCAUAAUACUAUCAGCCAUACCACUCUGGCCCCUACUGCCUUUAUCAUAUGUCUGUACACCUCCUCUUAAUUGCCACAUCGACUCCCUUUUGCCACCACUGCCUCUGCCUACUUUGUAGUGCCAACCCCUCGGGCAUCAAUUUAUAAGUGCUGGAUUUAAGAGAUCUGGAAGGGUUGAAGAAGAGAUUGAGAUGCUUCAGCUCAAGCUGAAGCAUAUUGAUGAAGUUAUAGCUUUCAGUGGAAGGAGGGCGAAGACAGCUAGAUCUCAAGGGAAGAAGGUUCAAAUAAUUGUCAAACAGGAAAUUUCAAGAAUACCUGGGAACUUGGCCUGGGCUUACUUGCAGCAAAAACUGAAGUACAUUACAGGUGCCUUGAAGCAAACCAAUUCUCUGGCAUUGUUCCUCCUGAGCUCGGGGAUUUGAUCAACUUGCAGACUUUGUGAGACGCCUCAGUUCUUCAUAUUGAUGCUCUGUAAUUCUUAACUUUUCUCUUCACUUUUAACAAUUUUCUGAAGGAUUUCAGUGGUUAAUUGCUUCAAUGUUGUAAUUGCAGGAUGCUCUCCUCCAAUAGUUUGACAGGGAACUUGCCAUUAGCUUUUGCUAGGCUGAGAAACCUAAUAGAUAUGUGAGAGUAUUAUAUCCUCCUCUUUUUAUAUAUUUGCCUCUUUUUAAAGCAUAAAUAUCCACCUCUAUUUAUAUUUUCCUUUAAAUCAUAAAUAUCAACUUAUGCUUGAUCAAAAAUCAUUUUAUUGCUCAAUGCGGUAGGAUAAAUGAUAACAACUUCAGAGGAAUUAUACCUAAUUUUGUACAGAAUUGGAAACAACUGACAAGAUUGUGAGAUCUUUGUUCUUUUGAAAAAUAUCUCAAGUUCUUUGAGUUUUAAUGGUAGAUGAGUCUGAAUUUAGCAUAUAUUCUUAUUCAAAUUUAAAUUCUUGAAGAGAAAUGCACGCAAGUGGACUUGAGGGACCUAUUUCACCAAAUAUAUCUCUUAUGAAUAAUUUACUUCAGUUGUGAGUGAAAAGCCUUCUCAUAUCCAUCCAGUAGCUUGAUAUGAUGUGAGUUUGUUUUUGUAUGUGUUGGAAUUAUGAUUAAGAGAUUAAACUCAACAUUUCCUGAUAGCUUAAGUUUUUGAGAUAAUUGGUAAUUUAACAUAGUAUCAGAGCAGGAGAUCCUGAGUUCGAUCACUGUCUUCACUCUACCUUCCAUUUAAAAUAUUAAAUUCUCACUUGUUGGGCUCUCACUUAUUAAGAGGAAGUUUAGGCCCACAAGUGAGGUGGGGGGG
Molecule: RNA transcript, 2243 nt
Organism: Quercus robur (English oak)
Lineage: Eukaryota; Viridiplantae; Streptophyta; Magnoliopsida; Fagales; Fagaceae
Gene name: protein SULFUR DEFICIENCY-INDUCED 1-like
Exons: 4
Source: RefSeq, a predicted model, not a curated record